CGCGUAGGCGGACAGUUUAGUCAGAGGUGAAAGCCCAGGGCUCAACCUUGGAAUUGCCUUUGAUACUGGCUGUCUUGAGUACGGGAGAGGUGUGUGGAACUCCGAGUGUAGAGGUGAAAUUCGUAGAUAUUCGGAAGAACACCAGUGGCGAAGGCGACACACUGGCCCGUUACUGACGCUGAGGCGCGAAAGCGUGGGGAGCAAACAGGAUUAGAUACCCUGGUAGUCCACGCUGUAAACGAUGAGUGCUAGUUGUCGGCAUGCAUGCAUGUCGGUGACGCAGCUAACGCAUUAAGCACUCCGCCUGGGGAGUACGGUCGCAAGAUUAAA
This 330-nucleotide ribosomal RNA is filed under the name uncultured bacterium. RNAcentral's name for it is "bacterial SSU rRNA". It matches the Rfam family "Bacterial small subunit ribosomal RNA", at positions 568 to 898 of the family's 1533-position model. The record is from RNAcentral.